AUGAACGCUGGCGGCGUGCCUAAUACAUGCAAGUCGAGCGAACAGACGAGGAGCUUGCUCCUCUGACGUUAGCGGCGGACGGGUGAGUAACACGUGGAUAACCUACCUAUAAGACUGGGAUAACUUCGGGAAACCGGAGCUAAUACCGGAUAAUAUAUUGAACCGCAUGGUUCAAUAGUGAAAGACGGUUUUGCUGUCACUUAUAGAUGGAUCCGCGCCGCAUUAGCUAGUUGGUAAGGUAACGGCUUACCAAGGCAACGAUGCGUAGCCGACCUGAGAGGGUGAUCGGCCACACUGGAACUGAGACACGGUCCAGACUCCUACGGGAGGCAGCAGUAGGGAAUCUUCCGCAAUGGGCGAAAGCUUGACGGAGCAACGCCGCGUGAGUGAUGAAGGUCUUCGGAUCGUAAAACUCUGUUAUUAGGGAAGAACAAAUGUGUGAGUAACUAUGCACGUCUUGACGGUACCUAAUCAGAAAGCCACGGCUAACUACGUG
Molecule: ribosomal RNA, 496 nt
Filed under: uncultured bacterium
Lineage: Bacteria
Description: partial 16S ribosomal RNA
Rfam family: Bacterial small subunit ribosomal RNA
Source: RNAcentral